Molecule: ribosomal RNA, 1426 nt
Filed under: uncultured Bordetella sp.
Lineage: Bacteria; Pseudomonadati; Pseudomonadota; Betaproteobacteria; Burkholderiales; Alcaligenaceae
Description: partial 16S-23S ribosomal RNA intergenic spacer
Rfam family: Bacterial small subunit ribosomal RNA
Source: RNAcentral
GGGUUCGAUCAUGGCUCAGAUUGAACGCUGGCGGGAUGCUUUACACAUGCAAGUCGAACGGCAGCACGGACUUCGGUCUGGUGGCGAGUGGCGAACGGGUGAGUAAUGUAUCGGAACGUGCCUAGUAGCAGGGGAUAACUACGCGAAAGCGUAUAAUACCGCAUACGCCCUUCGGGGAAAGCGAGACCUUCGGGCCUCGCACUAUUAGAGAAGCGGCCGAUAUCGGAUUAGCUAGUUGGUGGGAACGGCUCGCAGGCGACGAUCCGUAGCUGGUUUAGAGAGGACGACCAGCCGCACUGGGACUGAGACACGGCCCAGACUCCUGCAGGAGGCGCUGACGUGGGGAAUUUUGGACAAUAUGGAAACCUGAUCCAGCCAUCCCGCGUGUGGUGAAGCCUUCGGGUUGUAAAGCACUUUUGGCAGGAAGAAACGGCGCGGGAUAAUACCCCGUGCCAGUACCAGAAUAAGCACCGGCUAACUACGUGCCAGCAGCCGCGGUGAUAAUACGUAGGGUGCAAGCGUUAAUCAGGUACUGGGCGUAAAGCGGUACUUGAGCGUUCAGGAAAAAGAUGUGAAAUCCCCAGGCUUAACUGAGGCUACAUUUCGCUACCGAGCUAAGGUGUGUCCAGGAGGUGGAAUUCCGCGAUAGCCUUAGUGAAAUGCGUAGAUAUGCGGAAGACACCGAUGGCAGCAGCCUCUAAGGAUAACACUGACGCUCAUGCACACGAAGCGUGGGGAGCAAACAGGAUUAGAUACCUGGUCCCGCCUAAACGAUGUCAACUAGCUGUUGGGGCCUUCGGGCCUUGGUGGCCACAGCUAACGCGUGGUGACCGCCUGGGAGUACGGUCGCAAGAUUAAAACUCAAAGGAAUUGACGGGGACCCGCACAAGCGGGUGGAUGAUGUGGAUUAAUUCGAUGCAACGCGAAAAACCUUACCCUUGACAUGUCUGGAAUCCCGAAGAGAUUUGGGGUGCUCGCAAGAGAACCAGACACAGGUGCUGCAUGGCUGUCGUGGCUCGUGUCGUGAGAUGUUAGGGUUAAGUCCACAACGAGCGCAACCCUUAUGGUAAAUUUAUACGAAAGGGCACUCUAAUGAGACUGCCGGUGACAAACCGGAGGAAGGUGGGGACGACGUCAAGUCCUCAUGGCCUUAUGGGUAGGGAUUCACGUCGCUGUGGUCGGGACAGAGGUCGCCAACCCGCGAAGGCCAAUCCCAGAAACCCGAUCGUAGUCCGGAUCGCAGUGCAACUCGACUGCGUGAAGUCGGGAAUCGCUAGUAAUCGCGGAUCAGCAUGUCGCGGUGGUCCCGUUCCCGGGUCUUGUACACCGCCCCUCUGCGGGAGUGGGUUUUGCAAGUAGUUAGCUAAUGCCGUAAGGGCGAUUACCACGGAUUCAUGACUGGGGUGAAAGUCGUAGCUAAAGGUAA